Molecule: ribosomal RNA, 427 nt
Filed under: uncultured bacterium
Lineage: Bacteria
Description: bacterial SSU rRNA
Rfam family: Bacterial small subunit ribosomal RNA
Source: RNAcentral
GAACGGGAAAGUGGAGCAAUCCAUGAGUAUAGUGGCGACCGGGUGAGUAACACGUGACUAACCUGCCCUUGAGUGGGGGAUAACCUCGGGCAACCGGGGCUAAUACCGCAUAACAUCUUCAGGAUGAGAAGCUGGGGAUCAAAGGAGCAAUCCGCUUAUGGAGGGGGUCGCGGCUGAUUAGCUAGUUGGCGGGGUAACGGCCCACCAAGGCGAUGAUCGGUAUCCGGCCUGAGAGGGCGCACGGACACACUGGAACUGAAACACGGUCCAGACUCCUACGGGAGGCAGCAGUGGGGAAUUUUGCGCAAUGGGGGAAACCCUGACGCAGCAACGCCGCGUGGAGGAUGAAGUCCCUUGGGACGUAAACUCCUUUCGACCGGGACGAUUAUGAACAUACGAACAGGAAGAAGCCCCGGCUAACUUCGUG